CAAUCCAUGAGUAAAGUGGCGUACGGGUGAGUAACACGUGGAUCAUCUACCUUUUAGUGGGGAAUACCCCCGGGAAACUGGGGACAAUACCGCAUAAGCUCGUAAGAGGAAAGCAGCAAUGCGCUGAAAGAGGAGUCCGCGGCUGAUUAGCUAGUUGGCGGGGUAACGGCCCACCAAGGCGAAGAUCGGUAGCCGGCCUGAGAGGGCACACGGCCACACUGGCACUGAAACACGGGCCAGACUCCUACGGGAGGCAGCAGUGGGGAAUCUUGCACAAUGGAGGAAACUCUGAUGCAGCGACGCCGCGUGAGCGAUGAAGCCCUUCGGGGUGUAAAGCUCUUUCGACGGGAACGAUAAUGACGGUACCCGAAGAAGAAGCUGCGGCUAACUACGUGCCAGCAGCCGCGGUAAUACGUAGGCAGCAAGCGUUGUUCGGAAUUACUGGGCGUAAAGAGUGUGUAGGCGGUGUUCUAAGUCUGUUGUGAAAUCUCCCGGCUUAACUGGGAGGGUGCGGCGGAGACUGGAAUGCUAGAGUAUGGGAGAGGUAAGCGGAAUUCCUGGUGUAGCGGUGAAAUGCGUAGAUAUCAGGAGGAACACCUGUGGUGUAGACAGCUUACUGGACCAUGACUGACGCUGAGACACGAAAGCGUGGGUAGCAAACAGGAUUAGAUACCCUGGUAGUCCACGCCCUAAACGAUGCAUACUUGGUGUGAGCCAUUCAUUUGGUUCGUGCCGGAGCUAACGCGUUAAGUAUGCCGCCUGGGGAGUACGGUCGCAAGGCUGAAACUCAAAGGAAUUGAC
This 801-nucleotide ribosomal RNA is filed under the name uncultured Bacillota bacterium. Its description in RNAcentral is "bacterial SSU rRNA". It matches the Rfam family "Bacterial small subunit ribosomal RNA", at positions 80 to 914 of the family's 1533-position model. The record is from RNAcentral. Lineage: Bacteria; Bacillati; Bacillota.